Molecule: ribosomal RNA, 253 nt
Filed under: uncultured bacterium
Lineage: Bacteria
Description: partial 16S ribosomal RNA
Rfam family: Bacterial small subunit ribosomal RNA
Source: RNAcentral
UACAGAGGGGGCAAGCGUUGUUCGGAAUUACUGGGCGUAAAGGGCGCGUAGGUGGCCUUCUAAGUCGAACGUGAAAUCCCCGGGCUCAACCCGGGAACUGCGUCCGAUACUGGAAGGCUUAAAUCCGGGAGAGGGAUGCGGAAUUCCAGGUGUAGCGGUGAAAUGCGUAGAUAUCUGGAGGAACACCGGUGGCGAAGGCGGCGUUCUGGACUGCAACUGACACUGAGAAACGAAAGCCAGGGUAGCAAACGGG